UACAGAGGGUGCAAGCGUUGUUCGGAAUUAUUGGGCGUAAAGCGCGUGUAGGCGGCUUUGCAAGUCGGGUGUGAAAGCCCUCAGCUCAACUGAGGAAGUGCGCCCGAAACUGCAGAGCUUGAGUACCGGAGAGGAUGGCGGAAUUCCCCAAGUAGAGGUGAAAUUCGUAGAUAUGGGGAGGAACACCGGUGGCGAAGGCGGCCAUCUGGACGGAUACUGACGCUGAGACGCUAAAGCGUGGGUAGCAAACAGG
This 253-nucleotide ribosomal RNA is filed under the name uncultured bacterium. RNAcentral's name for it is "partial 16S ribosomal RNA". It matches the Rfam family "Bacterial small subunit ribosomal RNA", at positions 524 to 776 of the family's 1533-position model. The record is from RNAcentral.